GGAUAACCUACCCUUAGGACCGGGAUAACCUUGGGAAACUGAGGAUAAUACCGGAUAGGCAAUUAUUCCUGGAAUGGUUUUUUGUUUAAAUGUUUUUUCGCCUAAGGAUGGGUCUGCGGCCGAUUAGGUAGUUGGUUAGGUAACGGCUUACCAAGCCAUUGAUCGGUACGGGUUGUGAGAGCAAGAGCCCGGAGAUGGAACCUGAGACAAGGUUCCAGGCCCUACGGGGUGCAGCAGGCGCGAAACCUCCGCAAUGUGAGAAAUCGCGACGGGGGGAUCCCAAGUGCCAUUCUUAACGGGAUGGCUUUUCAUUAGUGUAAAGAGCUUUUGGAAUAAGGGCUGGGCAAGACCGGUGCCAGCCGCCGCGGUAACACCGGCAGCUCUAGUGGUAGCAGUUUUUAUUGGGCCUAAAGCGUCCGUAGCCGGUUUAAUAAGUCUCUGGUGAAAUCCUGUAGCUUAACUGUGGGAAUUGCUGGAGAUACUAUUAGACUUGAGACCGGGAGAGGUUAGAGGUACUCCCAGGGUAGAGGUGAAAUUCUGUAAUCCUGGGAGGACCGCCUGUUGCGAAGGCGUCUAACUGGAACGGUUCUGACGGUGAGGGACGAAAGUUAGGGGCGCGAACCGGAUUAGAUACCCGGGUAGUCCUAACCGUAAACGAUGCGGACUUGGUGUUGGGGUGGCUUUGAGCUGCUCCAGUGCCGAAAGGAAGCUGUUAAGUCCGCCGCCUGGGAAGUACGGUCGCAAGACUGAAA
This 752-nucleotide ribosomal RNA is filed under the name uncultured archaeon. RNAcentral's name for it is "bacterial SSU rRNA". It matches the Rfam family "Archaeal small subunit ribosomal RNA", at positions 102 to 854 of the family's 1478-position model. The record is from RNAcentral.